UACGUAGGGUGCGAGCGUUAAUCGGAAUUACUGGGCGUAAAGCGUGCGCAGGCGGUUUUGUAAGCCAGAUGUGAAAUCCCCGGGCUUAACCUGGGAACGGCAUUUGGGACUGCAAGGCUGGAGUGCGGCAGAGGAGACUGGAAUUCCUGGUGUAGCAGUGAAAUGCGUAGAUAUCAGGAGGAAUACCGAUGGCGAAGGCAGGUCUCUGGGCUGACACUGACGCUCAUGCACGAAAGCGUGGGGAGCAAACAGG
This 253-nucleotide ribosomal RNA is filed under the name uncultured bacterium. Its description in RNAcentral is "partial 16S ribosomal RNA". It matches the Rfam family "Bacterial small subunit ribosomal RNA", at positions 524 to 776 of the family's 1533-position model. The record is from RNAcentral.